UAAUCUCACAUCUAUCUCCAUAUCGCUCUUGCUUUUCCGCCGCAACCCGGUCCUAAUCUCGGCGAAGGUAGUUUUCCAUCGCAGCUCUGCCCUAAAAUCGAGGCAGGUAUCUUCUUCCUUGUGUCGUCCUAGCUCUACUCGAGAUAGAAUUUUAGAUUUGUUGAUGUUUAUGGAUAACACUUGAUGAAAUUUAGACUCCUUUUGAGAUUUUGAAGAUUGAAGUUACAAGUCAAGAUGCAAGUUUAGAAGAUGCACAAACUCAUUAUUAUUUUGCUAUGAAUGUUAUGGAAUACUUGAUAUUAUAGUCUAGCUAAGAUGUUAGCUAAG
Solanum tuberosum (potato) is the source of this 327-nucleotide long non-coding RNA. RefSeq lists it as uncharacterized. The transcript is spliced from 3 exons. NCBI's taxonomy places the organism in Eukaryota, Viridiplantae, Streptophyta, Magnoliopsida, Solanales, Solanaceae. The record is from RefSeq and is a predicted model, not a curated record.